This 261-nucleotide unclassified non-coding RNA is filed under the name Ascaris lumbricoides (common roundworm). RNAcentral's name for it is "partial ITS2". The record is from RNAcentral. Lineage: Eukaryota; Metazoa; Nematoda; Chromadorea; Rhabditida; Ascarididae.
AUUGAAAGAGUUGCCAUUUAUGAAUUUUCAACAUUCAUAGAGAAUGGCAUGUAUAUUCGAUAAGCUAUGAUAGUGGACAAAUGAGAAGUACUAUCGUACCUUAUUUAGCUAAUCUAUGAUUCAAUAUCUCGUUGUAAUUUGCUUAAACGAGAUGAGCGAGAGAGAAUAUAUACAUCAAAACGCUCUUAAAAGACGAUUCCAGCGUAUAUUGUGUGAAUGGCAUAGUUGGAAAGAAAGAUGAGCGUGACAAUAAUGAUGUAU